UGGAUCUUGUUCCCCAAAUAUUGACAAUAUCUUGUUCCCGAAUUUGAGGUUUCGCCAUUUCAAAUUUGAAGCCGAAUUUGAGACGUUAGACGUUUGGUUUUCGCCAUUUCAAAGUUGAAGCUAAAUUUGAGACGUUUGGUUUUCGCCAUUUCAAAUAGUACUCUCCUUUCGUUCAAUUUAGAAACGAAGAAGAGAAUUGGAGAAGAUGAUUCUCAGAAGUUCAGAACGCCGCAGCCGAGGAAGAGGAGGGCAGAAUCUCCGCCGCAGGAAGGCAAUAACGCCAACAACAAUACGCCUCCGAGUCCCACUUCUGCGAGGACUUACUUGCCGGUGCCGGAAUAUUCGCAUGACCACUCGAUUCCAGUGAAAUCCGAAAUUUUCGAUGCUCUAAGCAGUGCAGAAAAACUAGCACAUGAUAUCAAUCUAAAUUUCAAACUCUCAAUGAGGGUUUUGAAAAAUCUGAUCAGUUUUUUCCGGUUCUUCCCAAUAUGAUAAUGAGCUAUGAUUCCAAUUCAACAAAUCCCUUUAUAUCAUCUACCACAGGGAAGCUACCUUCAGUCACAGUAUUUUUUGCACCUCUUCUUAUUAAUUCUGAAAAUAAUGCAAUCUUCUUUGUUUCUGAUGACGCAGAAUUUAAAAAUUCAACUAAUCGGUGGUUCCUCUUCAUUGUUGCAGGAAUUUCACCAUUAAGUAAAUAGAGUGAUUAUUAAGUAGCUGAUUUGCAAGUAGAUUUGUCCAAAAAAAAAUAUUCAGAUACCUCUGCAUCUCUGCAAAUGUUGGAAAAGUCCAAUUCCUUGUUUUUGUCCUUGUCAUUUGUUAUGUGCAUGUCUUCAUUGCUCAUUACUAUUACUUUAUUAGUCGAAUUAUUUAUCCACACUUGUGAUUCGCUGAUCACAAGCUUCUGCAUCUCUGCAUGCUAUGAAGGAUUUUCUAUAUUAUGGUAGGUGUGGGUUAGGAACGGGUAAAAUGAAAAAGAAGGAAUAUGGGGGCUUUAUUUUUAAUUGUUCUGUGGUGAUUUAUGUAACAUGCUUAUAUUUAAAUUUAAUACUUGAAAAACUAGAUUGUAGCAAGUCAUAUUAAUAAAAUCUUAUUCUGACUGAUAAGUUUAAUAAAUGAGCUCUUAUUUGUUAUAAAUAACAUAUAUGCUCAUCAUCAUGUAAAGGGUAUUUAUAUCAUGAUGACUGAGUUAAUCUCAAAUUGUAGUUUUCUUAUCUUUGUACUUAUGCAUAUAGACAUGCAUACAUUAUAUGAAUCUAUGUUUCUUCCCAAAAUUUUAUUAUAAUGUUUCUGAAGUUGUUAACAGGGGUUACGAUCACAACUCCCAAUCUAUAGAAAAUAAAUAAAUGGUGAAGAUGUUGAUGGGGUGCCGAAGUAACUCACGCCAUACUUUCAGCAAAAGUGUUUAACUUCAAUUACUUUAACUUUGAUGAUCCAAAGGAUCCAGAAUGAUAAAGUACCUUACCAUAUUUAUUUUUUGUUACUUGCAGAUGAUUCCAUAGUUAUUUUUAAUAUCACAGCUUCAUACCAUGAACCCGGAUCCAAAUUAAAAAAAAAACCUACGCUUUUGAAAAUGUCUACCAGAAAUGUUUCCAAAUAUAUCAUCUUUCAAAUGUGCCGUGCCUUUCUCUAAAUGUUUCUGUACGGAAUGUUGGUCAUGUUUCAUUUUCUUGGUGAAGUGCUUGGAAUGAUAUGUUAUACCCUGAGAUUCUUUCUAGGACUAGCAGUUGAUUACUUGAAGACUUUUAAUUUGUUCUCCUCCCAGCGAGCUUAGAGAAGCUCCACUUUUACAUGCCUAACUAUUGCACGAUGGAAAUGCUUGUCUCCUCACACUCACAUUGCUCUUUCUUGCAAGCUGUUUUGUUCCUCCACAAGCUCAACACAUGCAGCAUUUUUAAUAAUUUUUUUGAAAUGACAAUCCAAUAUAGUCUUUCAAUCUCGUAUUUUUCUUCUGGAAAAGUGAACAUUUUAUUAAUUAUAAUAUCUUUACAGCAUCUGUCUAUAUCCAUUUCCAAGUAGAUAAAUCGUGACUGUAAGUCUGUAACUCACCAAUUCGUAUGUACCUGUUAAGAUGUCGCAUCUUUUUGCUUGUUUCUCUCACAAUUUCUGUAGAUCCAUAUUAUGGCUUGAUUGCAUCACCAAAAAUAAAUUUGGCUUCUUACAGAAUCAGAGAGAAAGAAACUCGUAGAGAAAAUUUUCAACACCUAACAGGAACUAGCUGCUGCUAGAGGAUGUGAACAUAUAUUACAGGAGCAACUAAGGAAGGAGGUCGAUGUUUCUCAAAAACAUCUAAGGAAACAACUACGGGUCUUUCAUGAGCUUGAGAAUGAGAUGGGUCUGCGCAAAAAUGCUGAGUCGUCAGCGUCCAAAGUUGAAGAAAGAGCACACGUAUUAGAGAAGCUAAAUACCCUAUCAGAAAGCAUAAAUAAAGAAAAUGGCUGUCUUCAAAAUGAGCUUGUUCAAAUGAGAAGUGAUACCAAAAGUUGUUUGUUUCUAGAAUAAGUGCUGAUAGCUAAAAAUGCAGAGAAAGAGUCUGAAUUACUGAAAGUGCUCUUAGAAGGACUUGAAGAGCAACUGGAUAAGGUUGAUAUAUUUAAUCGGAAGAUGAAUUCAGUUUCUGCCUUCACAGCGUAUCUGACUGUGGAAUCUUUCAAUAAGCUUACACUGCCAUGAAAUGCUUUUCACUUCUCUUUGUCUGUGAUUAUUUCCUAUACUGUAAAUAUUUGGCUCUUGCUGGGAUAAAUUAAGCUGUACAAUUUUCUUUUACUUCUCUUCAAUUGAAUGUGGUGUCAAAUAUUUUGUUCUCUUAUGACAUUUAUCAUUUGAUCAUCCACUUGAUAUGAGAUGAGUUCUAGGUAUAGGUUAGAACUCAAACUGAACCU
Salvia splendens (bonfire salvia) is the source of this 2879-nucleotide long non-coding RNA. RefSeq lists it as uncharacterized. The transcript has 6 exons. The record is from RefSeq and is a predicted model, not a curated record. NCBI's taxonomy places the organism in Eukaryota, Viridiplantae, Streptophyta, Magnoliopsida, Lamiales, Lamiaceae.